AUAUUGGACAAUGGGCGAAAGCCUGAUCCAGCAAUGCCGCGUGAGUGAAGAAGGCCUUCGGGUUGUAAAGCUCUUUCAGGUGUGAAGAUGAUGACGGUAACACCAGAAGAAGCCCCGGCUAACUCCGUGCCAGCAGCCGCGGUAAUACGGAGGGGGCGAGCGUUGUUCGGAAUCACUGGGCGUAAAGAGUACGUAGGCGGUUUUGCAAGUCAGAAGUGAAAGCCCAGGGCUUAACCUUGGAACUGCUUUUGAAACUGCAAAACUAGAGGCCCGGAGAGGUUGGCGGAAUUCCGAGUGUAGAGGUGAAAUUCGCAGAUAUUCGGAGGAACACCAGUGGCGUAAGCGGCCAACUGGACGGGAACUGACGCUGAGGUACGAAAGCGUGGGGAGCAAA
This 394-nucleotide ribosomal RNA is filed under the name uncultured bacterium. Its description in RNAcentral is "bacterial SSU rRNA". It matches the Rfam family "Bacterial small subunit ribosomal RNA", at positions 361 to 772 of the family's 1533-position model. The record is from RNAcentral.